This 1204-nucleotide ribosomal RNA is filed under the name metagenome. RNAcentral describes it as "SSU rRNA". It matches the Rfam family "Eukaryotic small subunit ribosomal RNA", at positions 528 to 1758 of the family's 1831-position model. The record is from RNAcentral.
AAUCCUUUAACGAGGAUCUAUUGGAGGGCAAGUCUGGUGCCAGCAGCCGCGGUAAUUCCAGCUCCAAUAGCGUAUAUUAAAGUUGUUGCGGUUAAAACGCUCGUAGUUGGAUCUGCGGCCUCGGAGAACGGUCCCCCGAAAGGGUGGUCACUGUCUCUCCUAGCCUAAACUCGAGUCGUCUCUAGGUGCUCUUUACCGAGUGCUUAGAGUGACUAGAACGUUUACUUUGAAAAAAUUAGAGUGCUUAAAGCAGGCGAAAUAGCCUGAAUAAGGUGCAUGGAAUAAUGGAAUAGGACCUCGGUUCUAUUUUGUUGGUUUUCGGAACCCGAGGUAAUGAUUAAGAGGAACAGACGGGGGCAUUCGUAUUCCGGCGCUAGAGGUGAAAUUCUUGGACCGCCGGAAGACGGACGACUGCGAAAGCAUUUGCCAAGAAUGUUUUCAUUAAUCAAGAACGAAAGUUAGAGGUUCGAAGGCGAUCAGAUACCGCCCUAGUUCUAACCGUAAACGAUGACAACCAGCGAUUAAUCGGCGUUAAUAUAUGACCCGAUUAGCAGCUUCCGGGAAACCAAAGUUUUUCGUUUCCGGGGGAAGUAUGGUUGCAAAGCUGAAACUUAAAGGAAUUGACGGAAGGGCACCACCAGGAGUGGAGCCUGCGGCUUAAUUUGACCCAACACGGGAAAACUCACCCGGCCCGGACACCGUAAGGAUUGACAGACUGAGAGCUCUUUCUUAAUUCGGUGGGUGGUGGUGCAUGGCCGUUCUUAGUUGGUGGAGCGAUUUGUCUGGUUAAUUCCGAUAACGAACGAGACUCUGGCCUAUUAAAUAGACGAUAUAUUUAAAAGUAUAUCGCGCUUCUUAGAGGGACAAGCGGCGUCUAGCCGCAUGAAAUAGAGCAAUAACAGGUCUGUGAUGCCCUUAGAUGUCCGGGGCUGCACGCGCGCUACACUGAAAGAAUCAGAGUGCGUUAUGCCUAGUUCGGAAGAACCGGGUAACCCAAGUAAAUUCUUUCGUGCUUGGGAUAGGGAAUUGCAAUUAUUUCCCUUAAACGAGGAAUUCCCAGUAAAUGCGGGUCAUAAGCUCGCGUUGAUUACGUCCCUGCCCUUUGUACACACCGCCCGUCGCUACUACCGAUUGGAUGACUUAGUGAGGUCUUAGGACCGAGGUAAAGGUGCUUGUAAUGAGUGCUUUUGCUUUGGAAAUUUGA